CGAGCGCAGCCCCCGCGCCCCGCUCGCUGCCCCGAUGAUGGACAGGAACUACCCGCCGACUGCCAGCUUCGCCGACCCGCUGGCUCCAGCCGCCGCCGCGCAGCCAGCCGCCGCCUGGGCCUACGAGCGAGGCGCGGGCAGCCUCAAGCCCAGCUUAAGCUAUGGAGGAGGACAUCCAUCACACUCGGAAACGGAUCUUCUUCACAGACAGACAUAUGCAGCUUCUCAUCAGCUUCCAGGAUAUGCUACCACCCACCAUCCUACUGGUCUUUCUGGAAUAUUUGAUACUAGUAUGCACAGUGCUGGAAGUAACACUAAAGAAACUUCAGUUAUGAACUUUCUCUCUGCAAUUGAGUCUCGCACUGCUCAGGCUGCUGCUUCAGGAGCUACACUUUUACCACAAUUCAGGGCUCCAUCAUGGCAGACAGGUGUGCAUUCCUCAGCAGCAACAGAACUAUUUGUUACUGGAGCAUUGCCAACCUCUGGAACAUUUCCACCAACAUCUGCAUUAUCAGCUUAUCAGCAUCCCAAUUCUUUCAGCAGUAGAAACUUUGCUACUACUCCAUCUCUCACACUUCAAGAUGCAACAUUCAGUGCUACAUCAAAUGGUCUUUUAACUGCUCAUGACCCUUUACUGCAAAUCAAGACUUCACAAGGCACAGUUCCAACUGCUUUGACAUUUGAGCGCUUAGGCAGCUCUGUUUUAAGUACCAGCAUACCACCUCAGUCAUCAACAUACCGUUCUGCUCAAGAGUCCGCACCCCAUCUCUUGCAACCUCAGUUUAGUUUGUUGCCUUCAACACUUGGAGGAGCUCAGCAGGCUUCUCAGGCAUAUAGCACAUCUGUCUUUUCUGGUUCUACUGCCUCCAUUGAUAGAGCACUUCAGCGAGAAUGUAGUGUUAUUAAACACCAUCAGCGGCCUUCAAGUACACAGUCUGUUCAGGCACAACUGACUGGUUCACAGCAUUCCUUACACAGUUAUUUAUCAAGUACAAGUGGAGUUAAUUUUCAGGAUACAUCCAGGCAGUCAGCACUGCCCUGCAGUCCAGUUGGAGAUGCUACUCAGGUGAGCAAUGGAGGAUCACAACAGAAGACCUCUCAAGUCUCAGUGGAACUUGCUCAGUCUUAUACAUCUGCAAUUCCAUCACCUGGUUUCCCAUCUACUUCUACAGCAAAAGCAAAAAACGGUUCUACAAAGCAGCUAUCAAGGUCAACAAAGACACCCAAACCUCAAAAUGUAGUCUCUCCUGUGCAGACACAAAGCUAUUCCAAAUCUGCACAAAACCAGAGUUCAGUAAUAGCAGGCCAAGCACAAAUCUAUUCUACAGCACAGCUACCAAGUCUGUUGUCAGUCAGCCAAUCCCAAAACUAUGUUUCCACACAGUCACAGAAUAUGCCAUCUGUCAGUCAUUCACAAGUUUUCUCAUCUAGCAAGGUUGAGAAGCUGCCCUCAUUAUAUAAAACACUGACUUUUUCUGGGCAGUCGCAAACUAUAACUUCUGAUAGUCAGACAACACUAAGUUACUCUGCAGAUCAACAGGUAUUAACUUCAGUUCCAAAUGAGAACUACUCUGGUCAAACAAGGGAUCUUUCUUCAGUUAGCCAAUCUCAGAGUUAUUCUUCUAAUCACUCUCAGGGUUUAUCUCCCGUUAACCAAUCACAGGUUAGUUAUUCAUCUCAAUCACAGGUUUUGUCAGCUGUUAGUCCUUCAGAAAGUUAUACGUCAGGGCAAUCUUUAACAUUAACUUCACCUUCUCUUCCAUUUUCUUCGUCCCCUCGUAUUCAAAAUUUGUCAGCCUCAAGCCCAAACCAGAACUAUAUUUCUUUACGUUCUUCUCAGAAUUCUCAGACACAAGAAUCAUCUUCUCCACAGUCUCAAAAGUUUUUGACAGCUGUUCAGUCUCCUACUUUUGCAUCCCCAGCUCAUUCACAGACACUGCAGAACAAUAGAUCUUCCUCAGAUAGAAAAACAUAUGUUAAAAGGAAAUCUGACUCUAACUUGUAUGCUUCAUCAAAACAGGAAGAUGAAUUGUCAAUGCAAGAUUUACAGGCAUUACAACAGCAAGCUUCUCUUGAAUCCUCUACCCAAAGGCUAACUGAUAGUGAAAUUAAUGCUCAGGAUGCUGCCUAUAGGGUCUCAAAGGCAGAUGACAGAUAUUCUCAAAGUGUAAUCAGAAGUAAUUCUCGUCUUGAAGAUCAAGUCAUUGGGCUUACUCUUCAAGGGUCGAAAAAAGAUGAGAGGAUGGUUGGUUCUGUGGCACAGCUUACUCAGCAGAUUGGCCAUAUCACUAAUGUAAUAAGCCAUGAUAUUAAAAAGGCAGCUAAUUUAAUGCAGACAACACAAGUAAGUGUAAAUGCUAAAGAACUAAACCAGCAGCAUUCUCUUAUGCAUAAGGUACAUGAAACUAAGGCCCAAGAACAGCAGGGCCAAGUCAUUAGUACAUCAUCACAGAUUCAAGCUCAUGCCUUGAGGCAUUGCAAUCAACUAUGUUUGCCUAAUGCACAGGUACUUCUGGAAUCUGCCUGUGACUUACAAAUUCUUCAGCAAUCAAUACUGCAGUCAGGCUUAGGACAAGCAAAGGCAUCUCCACAUGUGCGACGAAUACAGAGUCCUCAGCAGGUAGCACAUCAGUUCCUUCAAAUGGAUAGUCACAUUAUUCAAAGUAAUGGGGGUCAUUCUCAGCAACAGCUUCAUCCUCAAAAUGCAGAAGUUAUUAAAAUGGACAUUUCUGAGUCCUCAAAACCACUACAGCAACAUAUGACAUCAAAAGACCAUUUUACUCAACCAAAUCAACAUGAAUCAAAGAAUCAGUUUGUUUCUCUUGGUUCGAUAUGUUUUCCAGAGUCUAUGCUUCUCAGUGAUGAGAGGAAUAUAUUGUCUAAUGUGGAUGACAUCUUAGCAGCAACAGCAGCAGUGUGUGGGGUCACACCAUCAGAAUUUGCCAAAUCCACAUCUCAUGAAGAAGAAAUUCAAUCUGUUGAAAAUGGUGAUGAUUCCAAAUCUCAGUUCCAGUCAAUAGGUGUAUGUCACAUAUCUCCUAGUUUCAGCUCCUCACCCACUGUAGUUGGAAAACCACACAGCAUAAAUAAUAUUUCUCUAAAUGGAAGCCAAGUUACUGUAAACCUUACAACAGUGUCUACAAUACAAUCAAAACAUGUGAUCCUUGAUCAACAUAUGGAAACUUCUGACCAAAACAUGUCAGCUAGAAUGACUUCUCCAGCCCUCGGACCUAGUCAGGAGGAGCAAGAACAAGGUUCUGGCAAAGUUAAGAAACAGUCUAGCAUUAGUCAUGAAUCUGAAGAAGACAAUGAUGUUCCCAUUGAUGGUACACUGAAUGCUAGAGACUCAGAAUUUGUUUCAAGUGGUCGGAGUCUAAGUGAAGAGAGCGUUACAUCAGAUAAUGAUUUUAAUAUGGGUUGUGAUGAUGGCAUUGUAGUAGGUAACAAGAUUAAAGGUCCAUUGCAACCAAUAUCUGUGCUACAACCAGGAGAUGGAAGUGGUAGCAAAACUGAAGAAGAGAACCAAGAUUUAUGUCAAGGGAACUUUCAAAAGAAAAAAAGUAAAGGAAAAAGCCAAAUAAAAAAUUCUACAGAAGAUGACAGUGCAAGCCAGAAACAACUGAAACGAAGUGGACAAUGCAAACGUCAGAAUGUAAGAGGAACUGACAUAUGUUUACCGUAUUCUUCUCCUGUUUCUGAAAGUUAUGAUAUUUAUCAACACCAAGAAAGAAUGAGGCAAAAAAUUAAAGAAGUGGAAGAAAAGCAACCAGAAGUCAAAACAGGAUUCCUUGCAUCUUUUUUAGACUUUUUAAAAUCUGGGCCCAGGCAACAGUUUUCAGCACCUGCUGUACGAAUGCCUAACAGGACUAGGCGGACAGUUACCCAGAUAGUCCGUGCCCCAGGUCCCCAGCCACCUUCAAAGCCACAGCCAGCAGCAGCUCCUUUGUCUGUUGAGGGUGGCUGUGAAAGUCCAACCAAAAAAGUUGAUGAUGAACUUAAGAAAAAUUUGGAAACAUUGCCUUCAUUUUCUUCUGAUGAAGAUGAUUCUGUAGGGGGUAACCACGAUCUUCAGAAGAGCAUUUCUACCGCAUUAUCAGCUUUGGAUGAUACUGCUGACAAAAAAAACAAAUCAGAAACUGAAAAAAUGGCAGUUGCUACUACUGCCAACACCACUGCUCUUGUAAAGCAGGAAUCUCCAAACACUACUGCUCCUGUGGUAAAUGUUCAGGAGAAAACAAGUUCAGCAGAACUCGUAAAGAUAGCUGACCAGGAUGGUGUGACUUCAGACCAGUUAGCAAAAAUACAGGCAGCUGUUGCAAUAGAAGGAUGUACUGAUGAGGAGAAUACGGACAGUGGAGGAGAGGGCAUGUACAGAGAACGUGAUGAAUUUGUAGUGAAGAUUGAAGAUAUAGAUAUGCUAAAGAUGGCUUUACAAAUGGGAAAAGAGCCUCCAGCAAUCUGGAAAGUACAAAAGGCUUUGUUACAAAAGUUCGUUCCUGAAGUUCGAGAUGGACAGAGAGAGUUUGCUGCUACUAAUAGUUAUCUUGGGUAUUUUGGGGAUGCAAAAAUGAAAUACAAACGGGUGUAUGUGAAGUUCAUUGAAAAUGCAAACAAAAAGGAGUAUGUCAGAGUCUGUUCAAAAAAACCACGAAGUAAACCUGUACAAUCUGCAAGGCCCAUUCAUUACAAACCAAGUAACAGCACCAGCAAAGGUCCUGAUCCUCCAGCACCAAAAACUACAACAACAAAAGUCUCUUCUGUGAAACCCAAAGCUAAACAGCCAAAGAUAAAGGCUGAACCACCACCAAAGAAACGGAAAAAAUGGAAAGAAGAGUUUUCAUCUUCCCAAUCUGAGUCUUCUCCUGAAGCCCAGAGUGAUGAGGAUGAACUUGUCCCUCCAUCUCCUUUUUUCACCCGCUUUUUGAACACAAGAGCUAUGAAGGAGACCUUUAAGAGUUAUAUGGAGCUGCUUGUUAGCAUUGCCUUAGAUCCAGAUACAAUGCAAGCCUUGGAAAAGAGCAAUGAUGAGCUUCUUUUGCCUCAUAUGAGAAAAAUUGAUGGCAUGCUGAAUGACAACAGGAAAAGACUGCUUUCCAAAUUACGUUUGGAGCAUACGUUCAAGGACUUUGGGACAAGAGGGUUAAUUACCUCCCCAUCUCAUCACUACUGAAAAGCUGUUCCCUGCAGAAGCAGUAGUUCCUGCUCCUAUCUUCCCAGUAGCCCUCUGUGGCUCCCUCAUUGCAACAGCAAAGUUCCUGGAGGGUGUCUAAAUCUCUCUGAUACUUCUCAUAAUAAAUACAAAUGGUCUGUUUAACUGACCCUGAGCCUCCAUUUUUAUUUUAUUGUUGUUGUUUUUACAGUGAGAGUUAGGGACAUAAUGCCAAUUUGAUUCCCACUGUGCUAAUACUUCUGUAGCUAAUCAUUACACCCAGUUAGAAGAAAAGCAUCUUUAGCAUGCACAAGAUUGUCACAGUUAUAUAAUAUUAUAUCCACUUACUCCCUAUAUUGUGUUACAAAUUCCAGCUGUAUAAAGAAGCUUUUGCUUUCUGUUCACUCAAUAAAAGAAAAUAAAUUAUGUCUCUUAAAUCAGAUAAUGUAGGCCCAAUCCUACAGCUUGAUCUGUAUGGAAGGAUCUGCCCACAUGGAUCAGAUUCCAGGAUCAGGGCAUAUGUUUGUAAAAUGGCUCAUUUUGUUAGUAUGUCUAUAUUUCUAGUACAGAAGUACAAGCCCGUAUCAUGUCUGUGUUAGCAAUUUUGUAGUAAUGAAAAGCUAAUUUCCUACAUGAACAUCUCUAUUGGUUUGAUACCAAAUAGGUUACAUACUUUUAAAAUCCAGUUUAAUCCAUUAUUUAGAACAAGAAAGCCUGUUUUUAUAAUAAUGUUAAUAAAAAUGAGUAGUUUAGGUAUUAGAGAUUCAGACUAGGCAACCAACAAGUAAAAGAUGGAAAUGGAUUGGUUACUCAGGAGCACCAUUCAUUUCUGCAUACUUUUUAAUACUCUGUACUGAUAACCGUGUAUAGUAAUUAUAUAUUAAUUAAAAUGGAAAUGGACAAUAUGGGAUAUUUGAGUUUAGAAUUGCAAACAAAAUCAUACAGUAAAAUCACCAAUCAAUAAUCAAAUCAGCAGCUUUGUGUAUACACUUUUCUUCACAGUUCUAACAGCUAUAAAAUCCCACUCUGUCCGGUUAUAAUCUUAUUUCAGUAAACAAAAUUAAACUAUUCUUUCUGUGUUAGUUUCAUCUCUGUAAAUUAACUCUCAGUCUUUUAGAUACAACUCAACAAUGUACGUGUUUGGUAAUUUAUUAGACUUAUUACAAAUGUUGUUCAGAAUAGCAUUGUUAGUUAACAUCAAUUGUGCUUCAUUUCUUGGAAGUUUCAUUUUCUAUAAAGUACUUACCAUUCAAAGUCAUCUGGCUCUUUCCACUAAGCAAGUCUGAUUUAUAGCUUGUUCUCUUGACCCACCAGAACAUGGAAAUGACUAGUGUUUUCCUCCUCCUCCUUCCAGUUCAAAACUAGUCCUGUUUUGGGUCAGUGCUCCUGUCUGAAGUCUGUUCUACUCCAUAUUAAUAGACAAUAGCAUUGAGCCAGUGACAGAUGAGGCAGAACUUCCUGGCAUAAGACUGAAAUUCAGAGAAUGCAGUGAAACUCUACAGAGAAUUCUAUAACAGAGUGCUUUGGAAAACUUUCCUGAACUGACAGUAAUCACUCGCGAUUCUAAAACAAAAAGUGGAGGAGCUGCUCU
Molecule: non-coding RNA, 6740 nt
Organism: Chelonoidis abingdonii (Abingdon island giant tortoise)
Lineage: Eukaryota; Metazoa; Chordata; Testudines; Testudinidae
Source: RefSeq, a predicted model, not a curated record